RNAcentral lists this ribosomal RNA (366 nucleotides) under uncultured organism. RNAcentral's name for it is "bacterial SSU rRNA". It matches the Rfam family "Bacterial small subunit ribosomal RNA", at positions 526 to 896 of the family's 1533-position model. The record is from RNAcentral.
CGAAGGACCCAAGCGUUAUCCGGAUUCAUGGGUUAAAGGUGCGUAGGCGGAUUGAUAAGUCAGUGGUGAAAUCUACCGGGCUUAACCCGGAAACUGCCAUUGAUACUGUCGAUCUUGAAUAUGGUUGAUGUGGGCGGAAUAUGACAUGUAGCGGUGAAAUGCUUAGAUAUGUCAUAGAACACCGAUUGCGAAGGCAGCUCACAAAGCCAUUAUUGACGCUGAGGCACGAAAGUGCGGGGAUCAAACAGGAUUAGAUACCCUGGUAGUCCGCACCGUAAACGUUGAUAACUCGCUGUUAGCGAUACACAGUUAGCGGCUAAGCGAAAGCGUUAAGUUAUCCACCUGGGGAGUACGAUCGCAAGAUUG